RNAcentral lists this transfer RNA (90 nucleotides) under Cetobacterium somerae ATCC BAA-474. RNAcentral describes it as "Selenocysteine transfer RNA". It matches the Rfam family "Selenocysteine transfer RNA". The record is from Rfam by way of RNAcentral. Lineage: Bacteria; Fusobacteriati; Fusobacteriota; Fusobacteriia; Fusobacteriales; Fusobacteriaceae.
GGAAGCGGAUGAGUUACUGGUGUACUCAGCAGUCUUCAAAACUGUCUUGGCGAGUUAAAUCGCUGGUAGGUUCGAUUCCUAUACGCUUCC